AUCGUCCAGCGCUAAUUGCGCCUCUCUCUCUCUCUGCAACAAAUUAGCCAGUCGAAUAUGGUCAAUCACAAGUGAGUAUCUCUUUGAUUGCCUGCUUUUCGUGGGAUGAACAAGUUCUUUCUGAAUUAAAUAAACUAAAGGAUUGUUUGCUAGACCUUUUUCGAGGGCAUAAAAUAAAUCAGGUCUUCUGGUCCUGCCUUUGACAUCUGGGCAGCAAAUUUAGCUCUAAUAUUUGCCCCCAACAACUUGGUUCAUGCGUGGAUAAAAAAUAUUGUCUCUCUCUUUGUCUGUGAAGUCAUCAUAUUAUGAUGUGAUAUUGGCUUGCUCUUUGGUCUGAUUUAUUAAUGUGCAAAUACGACUGCGAAAACAUAUACAAUCCCUUGCCUCAUUUGAUAGAUGAACUACAUUGUAAAUAUGAAGCUAUCAGACUACCAACAGAACCGGAAAUUAUUAUGCUUGAUUUCUUUUCUGGAUUUUCUGACUUUUGAAGGCUCAUUUCAAAUACAGACAUUAUUGCAAUUGACCUGGAGUUCUCUGUGACACGAUCUAUACUAUUUUAUUCCUAUCUAGGCAUCAUUAUACUUGAUCUGGAAACUUCGAUGCAGCAUAGCAAGUAUUUGAAGAAUCUGAUAUGAUAUAAGAAGCUCAUAAAUCUGCGAAGGACCAUUGAGGCGGUAAACCUAGAGGCCAUCCAUUUUCUAUAGAUGAUAAAACCUCAUAGUAUACUAUGCCUGCUGUCCAUUGCUGAAUGUUGUUAAUGUUUGAAGCUCUGCUAUGUUCCUUUGUACUGACAGCAUGCCAUUGAAGGUGAGUUUGGUCUAAUGGCGUUUAAACUGAACUGUAUAAUGUCUGACUAAUUGUGUAGGUGUCUGCUUAUAGUUUUACUGCUUGAGACUGUAAAUCCAUUUGUUUUUCUUUUUUUUUUCUAUUUCUUUUUCACGUGUUUGUCAAGAAUCAGAAGUCAAGGGUGUACUCCAAACGUUUCCAAGUCAAGCUCAAAAGAAGGCGAUGUAAGUUUGAUCAAUCCCGUGACAUGGUGAAUUUGGCACUACAGUCAUAAGAUGGCAUUGUUUUGGAUGGACUGCUUUCUUUGGUACACUUGUUGCAGAGGGUAAGGCUGAAUACAGGGCCAGGUUGAGGCUCAGCGACCAGGACAAGAACAGAUCUUCAAUUUGGUGCUCCUCCACGCUCCUCUUUUGAUUAGAUUUUCCAGUGCGGUAAUUGGAUCAAGUUCAGAACAUCUACAGUAUGUCUAUGGAAAUAUGGAUUUGUCUGUUAAGAUUUUAGUAGAGGGAUUUGUGUUAAGAUUUUAGUAGAGUAAUUGGAUCUGAAGUUCACAACCUAUGUAAUGUACUGAUGCGUUGGUUAUGUACGAAAUACAAUGUUCAGUCAAGAUCUA
Lolium rigidum is the source of this 1399-nucleotide long non-coding RNA. RefSeq lists it as uncharacterized. The transcript has 2 exons. Lineage: Eukaryota; Viridiplantae; Streptophyta; Magnoliopsida; Poales; Poaceae. The record is from RefSeq and is a predicted model, not a curated record.